AUUGAACGCUGGCGGCAUGCCUUACACAUGCAAGUCGAACGGCGGCACGGGUGCUUGCACCUGGUGGCGAGUGGCGAACGGGUGAGUAAUACAUCGGAACGUACCUUAUCGUGGGGGAUAACGCAGCGAAAGCUGUGCUAAUACCGCAUACGCCCUGAGGGGGAAAGCGGGGGAUCGCAAGACCUCGCACGAUUAGAGCGGCCGAUGCCUGAUUAGCUUGUUGGUGGGGUAAAAGCCCACCAAGGCGACGAUCAGUAGCUGGUCUGAGAGGACGAUCAGCCACACGGGGACUGAGACACGGCCCAGACUCCUACGGGAGGCAGCAGUGGGGAAUUUUGGACAAUGGGGGCAACCCUGAUCCAGCAAUGCCGCGUGAGCGAAGAAGGCCUUCGGGUUGUAAAGCUCUUUUGUCAGGGAAGAAACACCGGCUCUAACACAGUCCGGGAAUGACGGUACCUGAAGAAUAAGCACCGGCUAACUACGUGCCAGCCGCCGCCGUAA
This 501-nucleotide ribosomal RNA is filed under the name uncultured bacterium. RNAcentral's name for it is "partial 16S ribosomal RNA". It matches the Rfam family "Bacterial small subunit ribosomal RNA", at positions 29 to 523 of the family's 1533-position model. The record is from RNAcentral.